GAUCCUGGCUCAGAUUGAACGCUGGCGGAACGCUUUACACAUGCAAGUCGAACGGUAACGCGGUGAGAAGCUUGCUUCUCACCGGCGACGAGUGGCGAACGGGUGAGUAAUACAUCGGAACGUGUCCGCUCGUGGGGGAUAACCAGCCGAAAGGUUGGCUAAUACCGCAUGAGUUCUACGGAAGAAAGAGGGGGACCCGCAAGGGCCUCUCGCGAGCGGAGCGGCCGAUGACUGAUUAGCCGGUUGGUGAGG
RNAcentral lists this ribosomal RNA (252 nucleotides) under uncultured bacterium. RNAcentral's name for it is "partial 16S ribosomal RNA". It matches the Rfam family "Bacterial small subunit ribosomal RNA", at positions 15 to 257 of the family's 1533-position model. The record is from RNAcentral.